RNAcentral lists this ribosomal RNA (404 nucleotides) under uncultured bacterium. Its description in RNAcentral is "bacterial SSU rRNA". It matches the Rfam family "Bacterial small subunit ribosomal RNA", at positions 991 to 1395 of the family's 1533-position model. The record is from RNAcentral.
GUAGAGGGUUACCAUAAAAACUCUGCAUCCUUCCUGAACGCUUAGACCAGUGCGACAUGGCUGUCGUCAGCUCGUGUCGUGAGAUGUUGGGUUAAGUCCCGCAACGAGCGCAACCCACGUUUUUAGAUGCCAGCAUUCAGUGGGGCGCUCUCUAGAGACCGUCCGGGAUAAAAACGAGGAAGGUGUGGAGGUCAUCAAGUCACCUUGCCCCUUACAUCCUGGGCUAUUACACACUACAAUGUGUCGGACAAAGGGCAGCAAACUCGCGAGAGAUAGCAAAUCUCUUAAACCGUGGCUCAGUUCAGAUUGAAGGCUGCAACUCUCCUGCCUGAAGGAGGAAUCUCUCUUAAUCUCAGGUCAACAUACUGCGGUGAAUACAUUCCCCGGGCUUGUACACACCGAGA